AUACGUAGGGGGCGAGCGUUGUCCGGAAUGAUUGGGCGUAAAGGGCGCGUAGGCGGCCCGGUAAGUCUGGAGUGAAAGUCCUGUUUUUGAGAUGGGAAUUGCUUUGGAUACUGUCGGGCUUGAGUGCAGGAGAGGUAAGUGGAAUUCCCAGUGUAGCGGUGAAAUGCGUAGAGGUUGGGAGGAACACCAGUGGCGAAGGCGACUUACUGGACUGUAACUGACGCUGAGGCGCGAAAGUGUGGGGAGCAAACAGGAUUAGAUACCCUGGUAGUCCACACUGUAAACGAUGAAUGCUAGGUGUAGGGGGUAUCGACCCCUUCUGUGCCGCAGUCAACACAAUAAGCAUUCCGCCUGGGGAGUACGGCCGCAAGGUUGAAACUCAAAUGAAUUGACGGGG
This 397-nucleotide ribosomal RNA is filed under the name uncultured bacterium. RNAcentral's name for it is "partial 16S ribosomal RNA". It matches the Rfam family "Bacterial small subunit ribosomal RNA", at positions 523 to 918 of the family's 1533-position model. The record is from RNAcentral.